UAAUAAGUGUUUUAUGGCACUUUUUUUAAAUUCCAUAUCCACCUUGUGUGCAAUGUCAGUCGAUCUUCUUUAUGGAGAUUGGCCAAACAUCAACCAUAUCUUUUUAACUCUUUGUCUGAAAAAUAUUAUGAAUAAACAAUUCAAAUA
This 147-nucleotide unclassified non-coding RNA is filed under the name soil metagenome. RNAcentral describes it as "partial internal transcribed spacer 1". The record is from RNAcentral.